RNAcentral lists this long non-coding RNA (1346 nucleotides) under Mytilus galloprovincialis (Mediterranean mussel). Lineage: Eukaryota; Metazoa; Mollusca; Bivalvia; Mytilida; Mytilidae. The record is from RNAcentral.
UUCUGCUUUUUCUUUCUUUUACAUAUAUCUUUUGGUUUUCAAUUCUAGUGUUUAUAUUCAUUUACCAUGCAUAGAUGUAUUUUGUCACCUGCCUGGAUUAGCCAAAAACCCGGAAUUACCCUUAUCCGCUUCCGGAAUCGGAUCCGAAAUUGUAAUUGUCUUUUCACGGCAGCCAUUGUCAUUGUGUUCACAUGUUGUUUUUGUCAGUCAGAUACGAUUUUACUCGUAUUAACACAUUUUUUGUCGGCGAUUUUCUGUAUAUAGCUAGCGAUUGAACUAAAUUGACAUCGCUGUCAUGAAUAAUAAUGAUUAAAAUAAGUUUUGAGAUCGUUGAUUUGGAGACUUUGGCGAAAAGGUUUGCAAAGCUAUUUUUUAUUUUCUUUCAAGUGGAACUGAGACUACUAUAACUGUGAUAUAGUUGUCUCAGAGUGGAAGGCCCGUCGGGCGUGGCUAGUAACCAAUUCGAAAGUGGAAGGUCGCGGACCUCGGAUCACCGCUAAUUUGAACCCCUGCCUCCAAAUUGAAAAGAUACGAAUUUCGUCUUCUAAUUUGAAAUUGCCGCCAACAGCAUGAACAGUUGAACUUAUUAUAUAAUAGACUACUGACGAAGUUGUACUACGUAUUGACGACAAACAAUAUUCCUACGACUUUUGCCAUUUGGGAAAUCUUAACUACUUGUCUUAAAAGAUUUUCGGCGAUUAAAUAUUUCGUACAAUUGUUUUUUGACAUCUUAGCCAAAAGCACAGGCGAUAAUAAACUACAUAAGAAUUCCUAAUGAGCACUACUUCCUAUGUGCAACUUCAAAACUUUUGGGAAAAUCGACGACCAUUUAACGUUUUUAUGGUAAUAUUUUUUAUAUUCUAGAAUAAAAAGUAUUAAAAAAGUGUUCAAUUAGUUAUAUAUAACAUAGUAGCCAGCUAGAUAAUAUCAAUGGCAAGUAUUUCAGCAUUUUUUGGGUAGACCACAAAUCUAGGGUGCUCGCAUAAUGCAGAUUAACUGCAUAAAAAUGGUCAUUUAAAAGUUGAAAUUAGGUGCCAGGAGAUUGAGAGAAUGCAGGAAUUUGCACUAUUUAUGCCAGAGCUUCUGGGGGCCUUCAGCGGUCCCAGACCCCCUGCCGUAAGCUUGGUGGACGUCCGGCUUUGCCGAACGCAUGCUACGGCCGCCUAUAAUUUUCAUUGAGCCUUCUACUUCAAUUUCAAGGGAAAGCCCGGACUAUAAUUCUCAAUUACAAUUGUCUGGGUGGCGGGUGCUGACAAAAACUGCCUUCCAACCCUCCCAUACAUUUUUUUCUGGAAUAGCCCUCAGGAAAUUGACUGAAAAUCCUAGUCCAUUUUUAGGUCCUUUGC